AACAGUUGUUUAUUUAGAGUUAUUUAUUAUUGUUUUCUGAUAUUUUGCAAUUGUUAAGUUGGUUUACUUCGAAUUUAAUAUGCAUUACUGUGGUAUUUCUCCAGUUUUCUAAGAAGGUUGGUGAUUUUGAAUUGGGAUUAUGAUGAAUUUAACCCAAAGGCAAUGUGUGUUUAUUUAUGUGGCAAAAUUCCAGGCACCAUAAAAAUUUGAGUUUCUUCCUGUUGCCCAUGGAUGAAAAUCGGUUUGCAGAAUGAAAAGAAAUUGUUCAAUGUGAUAAACUUCUAUGAACAGUCCUCAAUAUUGUUACAUUAACUUUUAAAUAUGCACUUUACAUCUUGAGGAGCAGGCCUUUGCAGAAAUACUGAAAAGCGGGUUGCAAAACAAUGCAAAAUAAAAUAAAUGAAAUAUGUCUUGAGAUUAAACAUUCAAGUUAAAGGUGUGUUCUUUCUUAAACUGGAAUGAUAAUUUUGUAAUUCUGUAGGCACAUCUAUUGAGAAGUUACAACCAGUGGAAAAGUGCCUUAAGGGAAUCUAUGACAUAUAUAAUUGAAGGGACAUCUCCUCUGAAGGAAUUACAAUUAUUUGCCAGUAUGUCAAAUGAAUUUUCAACAUCAGUCAUACUUUCAUGAAUUUAUUGAUGAAAAUAAAACUAGGUACAUGAUUUAUUAUUUACUUCCAAGGGAUUCUAAGAUACUAUGUGUAAAAAGUCCAAUAUGCAGUGAUGAGCAUGCUAAUAACAGGCAAAAUAUGGGAUAUAACGCCAAAGAUGGGAAACAUGGGAUGCAUUCUGAAGUAAAAAGAGAUGAAACUGAGAGAAAUUAUCGAUAUAAACAUAUAAAUUAACAUUACAUUACAUAGUUUCCCACCUUUAGACGUAUCAGAUGAGUAUGAGAACUGUCACUGUGCCAGGAGAAUUUUAUAAAAUACUCAUGUCACAGAUAUCUAAAGGUGGGAAACUAUGUAAUGUUAUCGUCGGCUAAGAGUGUUAACCUGCUAACUCCAUUUUUCACUGUGAGUGAUAUUGGGGUAGUUUCUAGGUCUGUGUACCUUCAUACCAUGUCCCACAAGCCCGCUGGUUCCACUGUAGUUUAGAGAUAGCUAUUUCCAAACUACAUUGGUGUCGACGGGUUUGUGUGGUGGUGUAUGAAAAUACACGGACCCAGAAACUAGCCCAAUAUCACUCAAAGUGAAAAAUGGAGUUAGCAGGUUAAAACUCUUAUCCAAGGUUAUGUUAAUUUAUUCGUUUAUAACGAUAAGUUCCACUUCUACCAGUUUCAUCUCUUUUUAUCUCACAAGUUAAUAUAUUUUGCCGGUUAUUAGUGUGAGUGCUCAUUACUGUAUAUUUACGAUUCUGUGAUUUCUCAAUAUGAUGCUGAGUAGGUAUAGAUCUAAGUAGGUAUAUAGUAGGUAUCUACAAUCCUUUCAAAACAGAAAUUUAUAAGUUCAUUUUAUGUACCUAUUAAACUUUAUUUUAAGGAUGAAUUUGAAAUGCUUGUAGGGAAUAUAUCUGUAAAAAAUAAAAUUGGUAUUGUAAAAUUGAAAUUCUCAAAAUAUAAUUUAUAAUUCGAA
This is a long non-coding RNA of Diabrotica virgifera virgifera (western corn rootworm), 1568 nucleotides long. RefSeq lists it as uncharacterized. NCBI's taxonomy places the organism in Eukaryota, Metazoa, Arthropoda, Insecta, Coleoptera, Chrysomelidae. The transcript is spliced from 3 exons. The record is from RefSeq and is a predicted model, not a curated record.